Molecule: transfer RNA, 72 nt
Filed under: Salipiger mucosus DSM 16094
Lineage: Bacteria; Pseudomonadati; Pseudomonadota; Alphaproteobacteria; Rhodobacterales; Roseobacteraceae
Rfam family: tRNA
About the family: Transfer RNA (tRNA) molecules are approximately 80 nucleotides in length.
Source: Rfam by way of RNAcentral
GCGGACAUAGCUCAGCGGUAGAGCUCCUGCUUGCCAAGCAGAAGGUCACGGGUUCGAUCCCCGUUGUCCGCU